This 454-nucleotide ribosomal RNA is filed under the name uncultured bacterium. RNAcentral describes it as "bacterial SSU rRNA". It matches the Rfam family "Bacterial small subunit ribosomal RNA", at positions 917 to 1382 of the family's 1533-position model. The record is from RNAcentral.
GGGCCCGCACAAGCAGCGGAGCGUGUGGUUUAAUUCGAUGCAACACGAAGAACCUUACCAAGGUUUGACAUGCUGGAAGUAGAGAACCGAAAGGCCAUCGACCUGUUAAGUCAGGAGCCUGCACAGGUGCUGCAUGGCUGUCGUCAGCUCGUGCCGUGAGGUGUUGGGUUAAGUCCCCCAACGAGCGUAACCCUUAUUGCCAGUUAUUUUCUCUGGCGAGACUGCCCCGCAAAACGGGGAGGAAGGUGGGGAUGACGUCAAGUCAGCACGGCCCUUAUACCUUGGGCUACACACACGCUACAAUGGACGGUACAAUGGGUUGCAAUGGAGCGAUUCGGAGCUAAUCCAAAAAGCUGUUCUCAGUUCGGAUCGCAGGCUGAAACCCGCCUGCGUGAAGUCGGAGUUGCUAGUAACCGCAAGUCAGCAAAUUGCGGUGAAUACGUUCUCGGGCCUU